This 320-nucleotide unclassified non-coding RNA is filed under the name uncultured fungus. RNAcentral's name for it is "partial contains 5.8S ribosomal RNA and internal transcribed spacer 2". The stretch from base 1 to 133 matches the Rfam family "5.8S ribosomal RNA", at positions 22 to 154 of the family's 154-position model. The record is from RNAcentral. Lineage: Eukaryota; Fungi.
UGGUUCUGGCAUCGAUGAAGAACGCAGCGAAAUGCGAUAAGUAAUGUGAAUUGCAGAAUUCAGUGAAUCAUCGAAUCUUUGAACGCACAUUGCACCCUCCGGUAUUCCGGGGGGUAUGCCUGUUCGAGCGUCAUUUCAACCCUCAAGCACAGCUUGGUAUUGGGUGUCACCUGGCAGUGGUGUACCUUAAAAUCAGUGGCGGUGCCAUCUGGCUUCAAGCGUAGUAAAUUUUCUCGCUUUGGAGGUUUUGGAUGUGUGCUUGCCAUCAAUUCCCAAUUUUUUCAAAGGUUGACCUCGGAUCAGGUAGGGAUACCCGCUGA